GAUGAACGCUGGCGGCGUGCCUAAUACAUGCAAGUCGAGCGAACAGACGAGGAGCUUGCUCCUCUGACGUUAGCGGCGGACGGGUGAGUAACACGUGGAUAACCUACCUAUAAGACUGGGAUAACUUCGGGAAACCGGAGCUAAUACCGGAUAAUAUAUUGAACCGCAUGGUUCAAUAGUGAAAGACGGUUUUGCUGUCACUUAUAGAUGGAUCCGCGCCGCAUUAGCUAGUUGGUAAGGUAACGGCUUACCAAGGCAACGAUGCGUAGCCGACCUGAGAGGGUGGACGGCCACACGGGAACUGAGACAGGGUCCAGACUCCUACGGGAGGCAGCAGUAGGGAAUCUUCCGCAAUGGGCGAAAGCCUGACGGAGCAACGCCGCGUGAGUGAUGAAGGUCUUCGGAUCGUAAAACUCUGUUAUUAGGGAAGAACAAAUGUGUAAGUAACUAUGCACGUCUUGACGGUACCUAAGCAGAAAGCCACGGCUAACUACGUG
This 497-nucleotide ribosomal RNA is filed under the name uncultured bacterium. Its description in RNAcentral is "partial 16S ribosomal RNA". It matches the Rfam family "Bacterial small subunit ribosomal RNA", at positions 28 to 507 of the family's 1533-position model. The record is from RNAcentral.